This is a long non-coding RNA of Drosophila albomicans, 2228 nucleotides long. RefSeq lists it as uncharacterized. NCBI's taxonomy places the organism in Eukaryota, Metazoa, Arthropoda, Insecta, Diptera, Drosophilidae. The record is from RefSeq and is a predicted model, not a curated record. The transcript has 3 exons.
AUUGACCAUCUGGCCAGACUCCUAAACCUAAAGCUAUGGUAAGUGACUUCUUUAUUUGCUCCACAGCGUUGACGGCUACCUCACUUAACUGAAACUUCCCAUUAUUUUUCCUCGGAGCAUUUGUCAGUGGUACCGAGAUACCAAGAAGCUACGCAGUUUCUUGACCGUCAUUGGAGCAGGCAUGUUAUUGAUGGCCUCCACUCUGCUCGAAUCUAUGAUGAAACCUAAAUAAUUGAGGUUCCGAAAACAGAAUUUGGAUUUGGUUUCCUCCAGCUCAAUCUGUCAGAAGGCACACUUCAAAUCGACGCAUGAGAUGAAGUGCGUCUCAUCGAUUUACAAGAGAAUCCCUUGGAUGCAUGGAAUAGGAUACGCAUAUUUCAUCGAUUUUUGCAGGGCUUCAUGACGACCGUCGUUCUCCAUGAACUGUGGUUCUCUUUUAUGAUGGUUCGGUUCCCUCAAUUGGCUGUAUCCCAUGUUGUAACAAGUCCCACAAUUCCGGAUCAGAUACGACAACAUCCUCGCCCCGGUAAUAUUCCACUUCGACAGUUGUUACAUCAGUUGUCUCUCUGUGGUACAAGUCUCAAACAGAUUCGGAGCGAUGUCGAAAGCUCUCCAGAAGUCCAUGCCCAAAUAAACCACCUGUUUUAAGUCGGCGCACAUGAAGAAAACUAUCUGCUUCGAAUUGCCGCCAUAUGGUACUGACAGAUUGACUCGUCCCAGGAUCGGGCGACUGGCUCCUGCAGAAAUUGUGACCAUGGACGUGUACGGGGGCACAUUCCAAUUCAUCUUGCUGACAAGCUCUCGGCAUCCUCGACCCAGCAGACUAACGGACGCGUCAGACUCAAGAAGGCUUUUCAGAGCAUGUCCACCGAUGAUUAUAUCUGCAAAGAGUCGAGGAUCGGUGGUCUCCACACUUCGAACUCCUUCAUCGACUUAUCUCCUCGUUAGCCACCGCCGACGAAAACGAGCGCGUGCCUUUAUAACGCGUUUCGUGGCCAGCAUCAUCUCUCCAAUCUGCCGCUCACCAAAAAUUCUAUUUCGAGCCGACAUGUAUUCCCGAACACGAUCUUAACACUAUGGUAAGACUCUUACUGUCGUUCCUUUUACUAGUGUAUCCACGAUAUUUAACCUUAACUUAGGUGUAAUUUUCGCUUACAGUAUUGUCCUCCAAUUGUUUUUGUUGGUAAGCCACUCCAGUUUCUGAUCGGGUCUUGCCUCCAAUGCGCCUGCCCCGGUCUCAUCGCGUUCGCCCAGGAGUUUCCCGGACAAUUGACGCAUUGCGGGCUAAACGUGUCGGGCUUGCCGCACCGAAAGCAAAAGAUGCUCCUCGUCCCGGACAUACAAUCCCGGAAACCGUGACCAGGUUGCCUGCAGUUCCAGCAGUUCCAACCGUCUCGCGGUUCUACGCAACCGUUUCCUCCACUUCCUUUGGUUGGACUCUUUUCGCGCAGAGGUGGGUUUUCAACCUCGUUAACUACUAGUUUGACUCCGUGCGGAUACCGAAUUCGUUGUCCCUGUGAUGAGCGCCCUCGACGACUCAUCUAUCGCCCCACUUCGAUACAUUCUUGGCGUAACUCGUCCACCCUCAAGGUCCCGGAGAUGUUUCUGGAAGCGCGAGGCUAGCCGCCGCAUGUUAUGAAUGUAGUCAUCGAUAUCUUCGCCAGACUGUUAUUUCUUCUGCAGUAGCUCCUGCAUGAUGUCAUGCUCAGUUUGGUAACCUCGAAACCGGAUCACCAUUGCUUGAUGCAAAUGGGUCCAGCUGGCCCAUUGGGACUGCUCCUUUGUUAGAUAUCGAUUUUUGCUGCGAAGAGGCGGGUCGACUGCCACUACUACCGUCCUUCUGCGGGCGGAUGAGCUCCUGCAUUAGCUUUAUCAUCUCCAUGAAGCCUGCGCUAAUCUCAUCGCGUAUCGGUGCCGCAAUCCCCUCCUGCAGUAAACUCCUUCAUCCUCGACUAUAGGACAGAAUCUGUCGACUCCGUUGGAUAGCUUUUCGGCCCUUAUCCGAUGCUUCAACCACAGAGCAUCGAGGAGGAGCAGUAGCAAGGCCUUCUUCUUAAAUUCUACGGUUGCCUUAGCCGAUGGAAACAGCACUUCCGGGAAUCCACAAAUAAAGUCUCAUACUCCAGCAGCGAGCGUAAUGCUAAAUUGGUUACUGUUUCAGUUAUACAGUCGGGCUCCUCCUCGUUGGCUGCGUCGUCUGACGUUCGCUGUCCCACGUCGUUGGUGCU